AUCGGCUCCAAAAUUUGGAAAACAAGCACCGAGAGGGGACAUCAGCCAAGACCAAGGGCACCGCUGGGAGCACACAGGGACCCCAAGGCCACAGGACCCGGCACCCACCCCCUGCGGCUGGCACCCGUCCCCGGCGGCGCGGCCCCGGCUCAGAGGCGCCCCCGCAGGCACUCAGCCCGAGGAAGACGGCAGCAGCUCGGGCUGGUCGGGCGCCACCAGGAUGUGGCUCAUGGACCUGGGGACAGAAGCAGAGGGGACUGAGCUGCGCUGUGCUGCCGGGACGUCGCCAGCCUGCCGGCCCCAUCUGUCCGCUCCUGUCCCCGCCGAGCCCGGCUCCCACCCUCCCCGGAGCCCCAGCCAGAACUCAGGGGGUCCACGGGGAGCGGGACGGUGCUGAGCACCCCAUGUCAUUCUCGGGACCAACAGCACGGCGGCCCACAGGUCCGGGAUGAUGGGGGCCGUGGGACAGCAGCAACGGGGGCCGGCGGGCUGACCAGACACUCCAUCCCUCAGUCCACAGUCACCCAGCACGCAGUCCCCAGAAGCCCGCCGUGGGGCCAGCCUCGCCCUGCAAGGGACACGGCCUUCCCUGCUUUCCCCCGGCUGUACGGUGGCCCCAGCGCACGGCGCCCGUGGACCCCUGGAGGCUGACCCGGCGCUCCGCCAGCACAAGACAUCCGGCGCAGACGCUGGGAGUCACCCCCGUGACUCCAGACCAAGGGGGAAGCCUUCAAAAUCGGGUAUUUGACGCCAACAGUGUAUGUCACGUCAGCCGUCGAGGCUCCUGGCUCCUGCCUGGACAGUGCAGGCUAAGAGGGGAACAGCAGAGCAGGGCAGGGCGAGGGCCUUCCUGAGAAGCCAGGGGGUAUCCAGCCGGACCCUCAAGAAGGUGUAAGAGCAUGGAGAACUCUCCCAAGUGGGAAGAGCGAACACGGCACAUACAAAGGUCCUGAGGCAGGCAUGUGCUCGGUGGGGCGGGAGCAGACCCCAGUGAGAAGCGGCAACAGAGUGAGGGCCCGAGGCCUCGCAGGUGGGGACUCCGGACGCUGGAGGACGAGAGACCUGCAUCAAAGCCCAGGAAGCUGUCGGGAGCCACAGACCCAGAACCAUCCACCUCCUCAGCAGUCACACAUCGCAUCCAUUUCGAAAUCAAGGGAACAGGAGAGAUCUCAGAAUUGAGUUCCAUCGUUCCGUUGUCCUCCAUGGACUCAAAUAAUGUACUUGAAAACACCGCAGCUGUGCUGACAGCUGGAGCCUGCGUCAGGUCCUGGCUCCCUCUCUCUCUGCCCCUCCCCCAAGAAUAAACAUUAAAACAAUCGUCACAAUAAGACGCACACAUGCCGCCACUGUGGCUCGAAGGCCUACCCCCUUCAGAGGUUGACCUGUUGCAAAUGUGGACAUCCGACCAAGCGGAAGAGAAAGGGUCACUGGAGGGCCGAGGCGGAAAGAAGAAACACCACUGGGACGUUCGGGCGAGGCCCUUGACAGCUGUGGGUUCAGGCACGGAUCCGGGAAGGAUCAACUCCUAACCCAGGAGGGCGGCGGCUGCGGAGUCCAGUUCAUUGUAAGGAUUUCCACGACCAGAACAAGAACAAUAAACGUUCUGGGGCAGUCACGCACAACAGUCAGAACUAGAACAACGAACGUUCUAGUCUAAACCAAAAGAGAGAGAGAGAGAGAGAGAGAGAGAGAGAGAGAGAGAGAAA
Molecule: long non-coding RNA, 1706 nt
Organism: Suricata suricatta (meerkat)
Lineage: Eukaryota; Metazoa; Chordata; Mammalia; Carnivora; Herpestidae
Exons: 3
Source: RefSeq, a predicted model, not a curated record